AUGCUGCACAGUCACUCUUGCCUGAUCUCUGUGGGUUGCAGGGAGCUGCUGUCGCCUUAAAAAAGAAGAUAGUGCUUGCUGUGUCAUAUCUUUCCCUUGAAAGUGGCUCGACUGCAUUGGAAAGCUUCGCAAAGAUAUUACUGUAUGUGAAAAUAUUCCCAGAAGGCAACACCAGGUGGAGAAAAGUUGCAUGAAAUGAUGGGGAAGGUCUCUUGAAGGAAACACCUGGACACUACUACUAACUUCACCAGGAUUUAGGAGAGCUUGUGAUCUGUCCUGAUUUGCUAGGAGCUUCAAGAAGAUGAUGUUCAAGUAAAGAUUGGCACACACAUCCUGGGAAAUGCUGAUAUAUUUUUUUUUUUUAAAUACUGAACAACAAUAAACUUGUAAAAUGAUACUGUUUUGACAGAGAUGGAAAAAUAUUCAUAACAAAUCUUGCAUGUUAUGUGAUUGUUCCAUGUAUGUGGAGGAGCCAUGCACUGUCAGCCGACAUGAAAGUGUUGGUAACAAUAUGUGUAAAAUGCAGAUCUACAAUAGCAAUACUUUGGGUAUGUGACAGCCAACCAUUUCUUGAAACCUUGAAAGCCCUUACAAUGCUUGAGGUAAUAUGCAGAUUUAUACACUUCCUCCCCUGAGGUAAUGUUAAAACAGGGUGCAUUCAUUCAAAUUGCUGUGUACAUAAAGAUCAUUGCCCUAAGUGCAGAUGAGCAUGCACAUGUUAAUUACAAGUGAUAUCACAGUAUCAACACACAGGUCCUCGCAGAUACAAACUGUACUGCAGUAGCCAGCAUAUUACCCUGAAAAUAAGCAGAGCUGGAUGGGUGAAUGACAGCAAAAUGUCACAUAUGUAUGCUGAGCCUUGGCAUUCCACAAUUCCCCGGAACAUUCCCAUUACAUUUUAGAAGCCUAGCAAGGUUCAAGAAGGCAGACAGAGGCUCUCUGGGCAUUGGGUAAGUAGAGCCUUGCAGAAGAUAAGGAAAAUCAUGGAGAGAGGCAGGGCACAGUGGAGGAUUAUCAGGAACAUUAGAAGAAUGAAUGAGACUUCAGAAUUAGAAUUAACUGUUAUUUUAUACAGUGUUUUCCUUCUGGAGAUACAGCUGUGUAUCAUUCAUUGUUAAAUAAACAUGCCCAAUAUUGUUCUUUACUCACA
Molecule: long non-coding RNA, 1150 nt
Organism: Polypterus senegalus (gray bichir)
Lineage: Eukaryota; Metazoa; Chordata; Cladistia; Polypteriformes; Polypteridae
Exons: 2
Source: RefSeq, a predicted model, not a curated record